Molecule: unclassified non-coding RNA, 344 nt
Filed under: soil metagenome
Description: partial contains 5.8S ribosomal RNA, internal transcribed spacer 2, and large subunit ribosomal RNA
Rfam family: 5.8S ribosomal RNA (bases 1-120)
Source: RNAcentral
GAUGAAGAACGUAGCGAAAUGCGAUAGGUAAUGUGAAUUGCAGAAUUCAGUGAAUCAUCGAAUCUUUGAACGCACAUUGCGCCCGCCAGUAUUCUGGCGGGCAUGCCUGUUCGAGCGUCAUUUCAACCCUCAAGCCCCCGGGCUUGGUGUUGGGGAUCGGCGUGCCCUCGCGGCGCGCCGUCCCCUAAAUCUAGUGGCGGUCUCGCUGUAGCUUCCUCUGCGUAGUAGCAACACUCGCACUGGAUCGCAGCGCGGCCACGCCGUUAAACCCCCCACUUCUGAAAGUUUGACCUCGGAUCAGGUAGGAAUACCCGCUGAACUUAAGCAUAUCAAUAAGCGGAGGA